GGUGUGGCGCGUGCGCAAAGCGGCCCGUGGCCUCUGGCGGACGGGAGGGCGGAGCGACUGCGCAAAUCCGGAAAAAAAAAAAUGUCACCUGUGGUCUCAGGCUUUGAAAAGUGCUAGUGAUCAGAAGGACUAAUGUUGGACGAUGCUGUGUUGGGUCAACCUCAUCACAGGCAUUUCCAAUUUGGAGACAUAAAGAACUGAGAACUUGGGGAUCCACUGAGGUCUGAGGCAUGGUGGUACCAGAAGAAAUAAAGGGGCCUUCAGAAUGAAACUGGUCCCCCGUUGACAGUACUCUGACUUCUCCAUCAGGCUCGAUCAACAUGUCUACGGUGAGGUUGGUGACACUGUCUGCAGACCAUGCACAGGAUGAGACCAGUGAGUCCCACAGUGGGGGGCUGUCUUGAGACAGAAAGUCCUAGACUUCUCAAGGGCAUCCCUGACUCACCAAGGGGCACCGAGGACAGAUGACCAGAAGCACAUGGCACUGUGGCCGUCAGAGAGGAAAAGCUCACUCUGAAUCCAUUCCAAAGCCCGAGCCUGCUCUGCGGUUUUCACCAGAGCAGACAAUUUCAAAAGCACUCCAGCAGGACCUUCCUGGGCACAGAGAAGUACCUCAAACUCAACCCUGGCAGCUCCAUGAAAAUAACCAUUGAACUGGAAGAAAACGUUCUAAGUCAUUCUCAGAGCUAAGAAAAAAAUAUGUAAAUGAUUAAGACUUUCCAAUGAUCGUGGUGACGUGCUGUUACACUAAUUAGAAAAUAUGCCAACUGGAACCAGAAAAUGAAGCAUCCAGACUCAAUGUUUUGGUCAGAAUAAUCUCUACUUUAUCAAGCCUCUUUAUUGAACAUGGAGAAAGCUACAAUACACGUAUUGUUUUCUACUUUCAAAUGAGGUUCCUACAUCUUGAUCCUGAAUUUUCAAGGGUGACUAUGGCUUUUUAGCAUCUGACAACUCAUGUGACUGUGUUUCAAGUCUCAACUGCAACCAGCCAAAGAUGCUAUGUGCUCAUUCUAAAGAUCCCACCAACUCGGAAACAUGGAGAUAAAGUUGAAGAAACCACACCAACUUUCAUUAGAAGACCCAUCCUACUUGGUGUCCUUAUAAGGAUUGAUAUACUGAUGGAUAAUAAAAGAGCUUGGUCCCCACUGGACAGCUUCCAAAUGGACACAAACUAAGGAAACUUGGGGUACUUCUGCUGCUGUUUCUCCCGCUCCCCGUGAUUGUAUUUUCCCCGCAUGCCAACAGAAAGGUCCCGUCAGCAAUGCAAUCGCUGGGGAAACCUGCUGCUGCCCGUCUGACCCGUGUCGUCCGGACAUCUCCGACGAGAGGAAAGGCCUGCACGGGACCACACAUGGAAAAGCGAGUGUCAAAGUAGCCCUGCCCGUUAAGACUGCAAGUUUAUCACUCAUCAUUCCCAUCGCUGCUCUUUAUUCCCUCGCUGCAGAGCACUGUGCCAGUCUGUAGGCAUCCUUGUUUAAACACUGGCUGGGGUCAUAAGUGAAAUGAAGUUUGGUCCUCAUUUACCUCAUGCCAGCAGUUGGGUUGGCACACAGCUGCAGAACUGCUGGGGUCCUUUUUAUUUAAUUUGGCAUCCCUUCCUGAGCAGUACUGAGACUUUGCUUCAAUGACUCCACUGGGCCCUGCCAUAAUUUCUGCAUACCAUCAGAAAAGGCUGCGAAGAGAUGCACUUGAACUUGGUUUAAGGUGGACACAGGAGGCUUCAGAGCAAACCUAAAGACGGGCCUGCUGCACGUACCACGCAGGUGCUGGGGCUGACGUCAACAGAGAGUGAAACUCAGAUGCAAAUCAAAGAAUACAAAAAGAUACUGACUAAAUGUAGCAGUGAAAUGGACUUUAAGGAAUAGAAUUUGACCAUCUUAACACCAUGUGCAGGCCUAAGGGGUUGUCCUUUUUGUAGUUUUUCUUAGAAUAGCUUUCCUAACAUCUGAACAGUAUUGUCAAAACAAAAGAUCUCUCAGGCUCUGAGAGAGUCCUGUUUAUUGUGUGGGUUGGUCUUCUGGCUGACGCAGUGCAGUCCUGUUUCUGACAUGUAAAGUGAAGUCCAAGUAUGAUACGUGGGAACAGGGGCAUUUUGUGAAGGAGCUGAACACCAGCCAGCGUCCCCUCGUGUUCCUUAGAGCCCCAUUGUCCCAGGAACAGCAGUAGUGUCCACAGACAACACACCACUGCCGCUGCUGCCACAUCGAAUCACCAUGGAAACACACCUGUCGCUGAGGGUGUUUCCAGAUGUCUGAAUGAAAGAGGGGAGACCAUCCUGACUGAGGUGGCACCAUCCCACAGGCUGGGAUCUCGGACAGAAACAGAGGAGAAAGCCAGUGAGCAGCAGCAUUCAGCUCUCAGCUUCCUGACUGCAGACACGUGACCUCACACUUGGGCUGCCAUGCCUUCCUGCCAAGAUGGACUGUGCCUUCACAUGAUUUCAGAUCCCAGCUGCGUGGUGGUGGCGCACACCUUUAAUCCCAGCACUUGGGAGGCAGAGGCAGGCGGAUCUCUGUGAGUUUGCAGCCAGCCUGGUCUACAGCGUGAGAUCCAGGACAGGUGCAAAGUUACACAGAGAGAGAGGAAGAAGAAGAUUUCAGAUUGUAAUUUUACUCACUAAUAUUUCAUCACUGCUUCUAUAUUUUUUGAGAGGAAUCCUUCAAAAAAGAUUGAGAACCUCAUGGGUGUCCAUGUGAUAAUGGACCCGAAAGGCCAAUGGUAACUGUGUGACUGACACUGGAAGUGGAUCCUCGCCCAUCUCCCAGGCAGCUGCCUUCCCUUCCCUUCUCCAUGCUGUCUUAAAGGGGACUGUUCCAGUCAGCGCUGAGACUGCGAGAGACCCUGAGGCAGAGGCUCUUAGCAGGGCUGUGUCUAUAUGUAUUCCUGAGAACAAACUAUGAGAUAAUAAGUUCUGGUGUCCUAAGAUAUUAAGCCCAGAAUAUCUGUUACAAAGCAUUAAUAAUGGGCCGGGCAGUGGUGGGGCACACCUUUAAUCCCAGCACUCGGGAGGCAGAGCCAGGCGGAUCUUUGUGAGUUCGAGGCCAGCCUGGUCUACAGAAUGAGAUCCAGGAAAGGCGCAAAGCUACACAGAGAAACCCUGUCUCAAAAAAACAAAACAAACAAAAAAAAUUAAUAAUGAAUGCCUAGGUGGUACUCCAUCUAGGAAGUAAGGAUAAAAUUGUGGUGAAUAUGGAAUAACCUGAUAGGACAGAUACUCAUGUGUGCAAGGCUAGGGAGACGUGGGGAUGACAGGACAGGGUAACCUCUAUCAAAGGACAAGCAGUACCUGUGUCACUACCUUCAUGGUUGGGGACAGGGGAGGACAGAGUCAAUGCCUACUCAAAGCUCUGCUCCCCACUAGACAGCACUGGGACUUGACUCUGUCCACACCUCUCCAUGUCUCCUUGCACAGUUUCAGAACACUGCCUUUAUUGCUUACCAUCAGUCCCAUAUGCCAGGUCCAUAUUCAAAACACAAAGAAGAGUGAGUCACAGGGACUUAAGACUAACCACCAAGCUUAAUCUAUAUUCGCUCAUUAGGAGGCCCAUGGCAAGACUGCUCUUUUGAACUCAGUUUGAAUUCAAUAAAUCAUCUCUUAGGCUAUAGUACAUAAGGGGUAUUUCAACCAAACUAUAUUUUUUUGCAUACUAUAGAUACCAAAUUACUUUUAAGAUUCAUUUUAUAUGUAUGUGUGUUUGUGUGAAUUGUAUACACUGUGUAUAUUAGAGGAGGGAGGCCUCCGCAGAGGCCAGGAGAGGGUGUCAAACCUCCUGGAGCUGGAAUCACAAGAACUGAACCCAGGUCCUCUAGAGGGGUAGUACGCACUCUUAACCUUGGAUCCAAAUCUCCAGCAAAUUACUUUAGUAAUAAAGCACAUACUAGAAGUAUAAAACUGUAAACAAGUACCACGUGAUCUGAACAGGAUAAAACCCAACCCAUUUCCAUUUAAACGUUUCCUUGAAGAAUUUUUAACCAUUUCUCAUCAAAAAGCAACAGCAACCUAGGACCCCAGAAAACUGCCAUGCUGCCAAGCAGCAGGCCCGAAAGAGGCCUCCAAGCAAGUAAGUACCCCUCAGUUCCAAAUUCUGACACAAACUUCAGGCAUUUCCCCCAAGAGAUAAAAGGCUCUUGGUGGUAUUUACUUUGGGCUGUAACAUGGCUGUUUUACUUACCAUUUGGAAGUCAGAGGAGACUGUAAGCUUUUGUCCACAGGAGCCAUUAACACCUGGUGGUUUACAAUAUCUAGAUACUUCUCAAUGUGAAUCUGUUAGAGAGAAGUCAAAGCUCAGGCCAUUAUGGUGGAUGUAAAAGACUCAGCUAAUUUACUUCAUUUCAUUAGGUCAAUACUUUGAUUCGUGUAAUUAAGCCCCCCCAAAAUGCAUAAAACAUUGUGUGUUAUUACAUGCCUAAGGUAUCAUUAGGCACCUCAAGGCCAAAUUACUUCAAAUGUCCCAAAAAACAUAAGGAACAAUUGAGACUCAAAGCUUACGUAACCCGCAGCCCUCAUCACAAAUGAAACUGCAUCGACGUCAGUAGACAGCCUGGCUAUGGAGAUCUGACCCGGCACACUGACAUGGAAUAAAAAUGUCUUUGUCCUACAUGAGCUGCAAGCAGUCAUCUGAGGAAGACAGCCUGGUGGUCCCCCUAAACCCAGCCCUGCUAAAGAACGACAUAGGGUCCCGUGACAACCACCAGUUCUUCCUUCUCUUUCUGGGAUCUAAUUGCCUGCCCAAAGCUUUACUUACUUUUAAUCCCGUUUCGGUCCUUUGGAUUGCUGUCUCAAGAUUUUGAAUGUCUAGGGGGUCUUUUGUCUCCUCACUUGAGAAUUUUGUUAAUUUCUCCUUUA
Long non-coding RNA from Peromyscus maniculatus bairdii (prairie deer mouse), 4846 nucleotides. RefSeq lists it as uncharacterized. NCBI's taxonomy places the organism in Eukaryota, Metazoa, Chordata, Mammalia, Rodentia, Cricetidae. The record is from RefSeq and is a predicted model, not a curated record.